RNAcentral lists this ribosomal RNA (441 nucleotides) under uncultured bacterium. RNAcentral's name for it is "partial 16S ribosomal RNA". It matches the Rfam family "Bacterial small subunit ribosomal RNA", at positions 338 to 795 of the family's 1533-position model. The record is from RNAcentral.
CCUACGGGUGGCAGCAGUGGGGAAUAUUGGGCAAUGGACGCAAGUCUGACCCAGCAACGCCGCGUGAAGGAAGCAGGCUUUCGGGUUGUAAACUUCUUUUACGGGGGAAGAGCAGAAGACGGUACCCCUUGAAUAAGCCACGGCUAACUACGUGCCAGCAGCCGCGGUAAUACGGAGGAUGCGAGGGUUAUCCGGAUUUAUUGGGUUAAAAGGGUGCGUAGGCGGACUGUUAAGUCAGCGGUAAAAGCCCGGGGCUCAACCCCGGCGAGCCGUUGAAACUGGCUGUCGUGAGAUGUCGAGAGGUAUGCGGAAUGCGCAGUGUAGCGGUGAAAUGCUUAGAUAUUGCGCAGAACUCCGAUUGCGAAGGCAGCAUACCGGCGGCGAUCUGACGCUGAGGCACGAAAGCGUGGGUAUCGAACAGGAUUAGAUACCCUUGUAGUC